RNAcentral lists this ribosomal RNA (426 nucleotides) under uncultured bacterium. Its description in RNAcentral is "bacterial SSU rRNA". It matches the Rfam family "Bacterial small subunit ribosomal RNA", at positions 354 to 796 of the family's 1533-position model. The record is from RNAcentral.
GUGGGGGAUAUUGCACAAUGGGGGAAACCCUGAUGCAGCGACGCCGCGUGAGGGAAGACGGUCUUCUGGAUUGUAAACCUCUGUCUUCAGGGACGAAUAAUGACGGUACCUGAGGAGGAAGCCACGGCUAACUACGUGCCAGCAGCCGCGGUAAUACGUAGGUGGCAAGCGUUGUCCGGAAUUACUGGGUGUAAAGGGAGCGUAGGCGGGGACGCAAGUUGAAUGUUUAACCUAUGGGCUUAACCCAUAGUCGCGUUCAAAACUGUGUCUCUUGAGUGAAGUAGAGGCAGGCGGAAUUCCUAGUGUAGCGGUGAAAUGCGUAGAUAUUAGGAGGAACACCAGUGGCGAAGGCGGCCUGCUGGGCUUUUACUGACGCUGAAGCUCGAAAGUGCGGGGAGCAAACAGGAUUAGAAACCCUAGUAGUCC